UACAUCAUAAGCUUGGCAGACGCCAUAGCCCUGAAACAGCAGUUUGAAACUUGCACCAUAACAAAUCUUCUCCUAUACAUUAUCUCACAGGAAACAACACAUGAUAAAUUCUUAGCACAAUGUGAUUCCCCUCCUUCCACCUCCUCCCCACUUCAGAAAGAUUUAACAUCUAAUUCAGCUUUUGACGAGCUGCUUCAUCACUGCGGGAAUGCUGUUGAUCUCUGUCGGAACCCUGCGGCCUUGGACAGAACAAACUGAAAAGGGGGAAAAAACUUUUGGCCGCCUGUAAUGAUAAAUAAAUACAUUACAGGAUACAACUCUGGGGAAUGGAGGCUGACACUGACUGAGCACCGUGACCUCCACACUAUUGCCAAGUCUCAGCCGCUUAACAAAAGUCAACUUUUGUUUGCCUUCCUCCCCUGCCCCGUUUUCUUAAAGCGCAAACGCAGGAUGGAAAAGGAAAAAAAAAAGAUAAAUUAAACCAAUAAAAGCUCAAGGAGAAGUCCCCAACCCUCCCCAUCUGCUGCCCAGAGGCACUUGGGUUCUGACAGAACAGUGCUUUAGUCCUUUGGUCUCCUGGAAACUGGGAGAAACCAGUCCACGCUGCAGCAGCAGCAGCAGAACAGGGAAGCUGUGCUGCAGGGAAUGCUCAAAUCCCUUUAAAAAACGAUUUUGCAUCAAGAUGUGCCUGCCUUCAGGCUAGUCAUUGGCUCCCAUUUGGUUUUCUUUCUACUUAAGACCCUCUCACAAAAUCAAACAUGUAUGGCAGCUGUUGGGUCUUCACAGUGAGAGGGAGCGAUCGAUUACUGCAUCAGGUUUAGAGGAUUUGGAUGGUUGCCCUUUGGUUAAAGGCAGGAUCUUUCUAACAUGUCUUCUUACAUUUAAAUACUCUCCUGAAGAUUUUCCACUGCUUCAACUCUGCCUUCUGAGAGUAACUGGAGAAAAGCAUUCUUCAGCUCAGUCAAUUUCUUACGCAUGUUCUGCUGGGGAGCACUUAUUUCAUGUUAACUAUAUCUGUGAUCGUCCUGGAGUUGUUUCCUGCAAGAGUGAGCUGUGCACGUUACAGCCUCUAUUAGCAAAGGGCUGCUCGAUGCACCACAGGGGCAGUCACAGAUGGAUUUCCGCAGCGGUGCCCAAGGCCCAAGCAUUCCCCAAACCACCACUGAGCUCAUGCCUUGACCUGCCCAUCAGAACAAGACUGACACUUCCCAGGAGAAACUGGGUAAGAAGAAGGGAAAAAAAAAAAAAAAAAAAGGAAAUAAAAUCCAUUACGAUGGAUUUCAUGCUCCAAAUCAAUCCAUUUUCAAAGCUGCAAUUCCCAAGCCUUUCACCUAAGUCAAAUACAGCAAAAACCAAAAGAGCAGGACAAACCAAAAAGCAAACCAUAUGAAGAGGAGCUCUACAUGUGAACCAGGGACAACAGAAACAAUGGCCCUUCAAGUUCAGUCAAAAGCUUUGAAUGGGAAUUCCUCCCUUUGGAAGCCGAUGAGGCCUUCACUGCACUGCGCAUCUCACCCAUUGCAAGCCACAGCAGAGUGGAACUGCUGCUGUCUGUGCCUCUACCUGGGGGGAAAUGCAAAGUUUCUACUGAAGUCAAAGGGGGGCUGGGGAGAGGAAUCCGACCUGGAUGCCUGGGUGGACACUAUCUGGCAGAGCAGCCCAGGUUGCUGGUGUGCCUCCUCCCCUGCCACGGCACAUCUCCUGCGUGUGCACACUCUGCACGUGUGUUUAAACAAAGCAGCUGAUAAGGAGCCCUUGUCUGUCAGCAGGAUCUGAGCCUGCGGCUCUUUGAGCGCGUUGGGGUUUACUUGGCGGGUCACGCUGGCUCCUGGGGAACCGUUUAUCACCGCACAAAACUCCAGAGGAUGGCGCAGUGCCAGGGUCUUGUCUUCUCUUCCCUUCCCCCCAUCGCUGCUCCCCUCCUGGGUAUUGAUGCUAUAUCAAAACAAGCCUCCAGUUCACAUAGCAACAGAACGCUUUUAUAACACCCCUGCAUGGGAACGCUCCAUAACCCACUGGACACUCACUUGGAGCCCAUUAGGUUCAGUGAAGCUAAGCUGUGCAGGAUUGUUACGAAGCAUUAACAGGCUGCAGUGACUCCAUAUAAUCCAGCACUGCCUGUUGAGUUAUCACACCCCGUUGUCACCUCAUUAGUUGGCAGGCUAGGAGAACACAGGUGCCUCUGGUGCUC
Molecule: long non-coding RNA, 2191 nt
Organism: Pezoporus occidentalis (night parrot)
Lineage: Eukaryota; Metazoa; Chordata; Aves; Psittaciformes; Psittacidae
Exons: 3
Source: RefSeq, a predicted model, not a curated record